RNAcentral lists this microRNA precursor (95 nucleotides) under Marmota monax (woodchuck). The stretch from base 9 to 86 matches the Rfam family "mir-34 microRNA precursor family". From Rfam's summary of the family: Human mir-34a was discovered computationally and later experimentally verified. The mature sequence is excised from the 5' arm of the hairpin. Lineage: Eukaryota; Metazoa; Chordata; Mammalia; Rodentia; Sciuridae. The record is from RNAcentral.
CUGUGAGUGUUUCUUUGGCAGUGUCUUAGCUGGUUGUUGUGAGUAAUAGUGAAGGAAGCAAUCAGCAAGUAUACUGCCCUAGAAGUGCUGCACGU